GAUGAACGCUGGCGGCGUGCCUAACACAUGCAAGUCGAGCGAACCCUUCGGGGUGAGCGGCGGACGGGUGAGUAACGCGUGGGUAACCUGCCCUAUACACACGGAUAACGUACCGAAAGGUACGCUAAUACGAGAUAAUAUAUUUUUAUCGCAUGGUAGAAAUAUCAAAGCUCCGGCGGUAUAGGAUGGACCCGCGUCUGAUUAGCUAGUUGGUAAGGUAAUGGCUUACCAAGGCGACGAUCAGUAGCCGACCUGAGAGGGUGAUCGGCCACAUUGGAACUGAGACACGGUCCAAACUCCUACGGGAGGCUG
This 312-nucleotide ribosomal RNA is filed under the name uncultured Bacillota bacterium. RNAcentral's name for it is "bacterial SSU rRNA". It matches the Rfam family "Bacterial small subunit ribosomal RNA", at positions 28 to 351 of the family's 1533-position model. Lineage: Bacteria; Bacillati; Bacillota. The record is from RNAcentral.